Molecule: long non-coding RNA, 1443 nt
Organism: Oncorhynchus gorbuscha (pink salmon)
Lineage: Eukaryota; Metazoa; Chordata; Actinopteri; Salmoniformes; Salmonidae
Exons: 3
Source: RefSeq, a predicted model, not a curated record
CACGUCUUUUUAUCCAAUAAUGACCUAGCGCCCCCAUAGGUUGAAGAGGUUAAAAUACAUUUUCAGAUGUUCCGAGCUCGGCCUCCUGAUGUCGUUUGACCCCACAUAGGUUUACGACAGUGUCAGCUCCCGGCAUCUAUCAUAGAACAGUCGGAAACAGCCUUCUUAUGUCCUGUACUCAUGCUCCUGGGUAGCACAGAGUUUUUGCCUUGGGGACCGAGAUGUUUCUCACCAUAGAGCUGCCUAUGAUGACAGCUGGCGAUGUUAAAUGGGCCGGUCUCUCAGGCAGCCUCACGGUCUGGUGAGGGUGGGAGCUCCGAGGAUCUGAACCCGAGGUAGAAGCCACCAGAGAGGGAGACAGAACAGAGGACGAAUACGCAGGAACAUCUGGAUCCGGGGCGUCAAAGACGUUUCUGGUCUGUGUCAGGUCCGGGCUCACAAUCUCCAAACAGAUCCUCGUUAUCAGAGGACGCUUUCUUCGACUUCCGCGGCGAGUGACGUAUCUCCACGGCUGGUUGGGUUGAGAACAGCUCCGUUCUCCAGGGAAUGAGUCGGGGUCUCCCCCCUUCGUUCUCCAGCUCCAUUCUCCAGUUGGCAGCCGCACAUGUAACAUAGAGAAGACUAGCAAGGGGACCCUCAACAUCACGCAGGCAUGCCCUCACUGUGAGCUGUAAAUGGAGCAGGGAGGACACUUGAAUCAGGUUGGUGACAUUUGACCUGGUUAAAGGUCAAAACAGUUUCUAGUUCCUGUCCCAAUUCACCUUUAUAACUUUGCCUGGUGCAAUCAGCCUGAUCGCUGCGUUUUCCAUUCUUUGAUAUCUGAAGUGAAAUAGAAAGGUGAAUGCAGCAAUCAGGUUGGUUCCACCAUGCUAAUCAUAACCACCAUUGAUAAUAUAAUCAGUGCUCUGUGUGUGUGUGUUUGUGUGUGACCGACCAGCAUGUUUGAUGAGGGGCCAGAAGCUGAUCUAUGCUGCCAUGCCCAUCAAUGUGGCGCUGGCAAAGACCUCACCUCCAGCUUCACCCCUUGCCUGCUCACCAAUGGUCGUCAAUGGGGAGACCGGGAUUAGAUGCAUCUAUGGAACCAGCACUUGGAGACUUGCAAGAUGAUGUGAUGUAGUUCUGACCGACAGAGGCUUGAUACUGACGUCUCUGAAUGGAGAGAGACCUGGCACUCAACACAUCCACAAUGUGGAACUGAAGAUGGAGAGAUCUGUAGAUGUUAUUGCCAGACGACAGCCUCGGUCGUUUGAUGGGGAGUCUAUAAUUGAGUAGCUAUUAUCUGACCUGUUCAAACAUUAUCAUACUACCUGUUUGUGUUUCAGAUAUUACAUAUCCUAACUGCCAUUGGUAAUGGAACAAUGACUAUGUGUUUAUGUGUUCACAGAAACAUGUAUUGAGCCAGCACAUGGAGACUUGCAAGAUGCGAUGAAGUCCAGACUGAGA